Molecule: ribosomal RNA, 602 nt
Filed under: uncultured bacterium
Lineage: Bacteria
Description: bacterial SSU rRNA
Rfam family: Bacterial small subunit ribosomal RNA
Source: RNAcentral
CCUACGGGAGGCAGCAGUAAGGAAUAUUGGUCAAUGGGCGCAAGCCUGAACCAGCCAUGCCGCGUGCAGGAAGACGGCCCUAUGGGUUGUAAACUGCUUUUGAACAAGAGAAAACCUCGGUACGUGUACCGAGCUGAUAGUAUUGUUAGAAUAAGCAUCGGCUAACUUCGUGCCAGCAGCCGCGGUAAGACGAAGGAUGCAAGCGUUAUCCGGAUUCAUUGGGUUUAAAGGGUGCGUAGGCGGCCUGAUAAGUCAGUGGUGAAAUCUCUCAGCUUAACUGAGAAACUGCCAUUGAUACUGUCGGGCUUGAGUACAGAUGAUGUGGGCGGAAUAUGACAUGUAGUGGUGAAAUACUUAGAUAUGUCAUAGAACACCGAUUGCGAAGGCAGCUCACAAAACUGUAACUGACGCUGAGGCACGAAAGUGCGGGGAUCAAACAGGAUUAGAUACCCUGUAGUCCGCACCGUAACGAUGAUUACUCGUUGUUGGACAUAUGACCGUCAGCGACCAAGCGAAAGCGAUAAGAAUCCACCUGGGAGUACGCGCACGGUGAACUCAAAGGAAUUGACGGCGNGAGAGNGCGAGACGACGACGAGGGAGAG